GAUGAACGCUGGCGGCGUGCUUAACACAUGCAAGUCGAACGGAAAGGCCCAAGCUUGCUUGGGUACUCGAGUGGCGAACGGGUGAGUAACACGUGGGUGACCUGCCCUGCACUUCGGGAUAAGCCUGGGAAACUGGGUCUAAUACCGGAUAGGACCACUUCGUAGUUGGUGUGGUGGAAAGUGUUUCCGGGGUGGGAUGAGCUCGCGGCCUAUCAGCUUGUUGGUGGGGUAUUGGCCUACCAAGGCGUCGUCGGGUAGCCGGCCUGGGAGGGUGUACGGCCACAGUGGGACUGAGCUACGGCCCAGCCUCCUGCGGGAGGCAGCAGUGAGGAAUAUUGCACGAUGGGCGGAAGCCUGAUGCAGCGCCGCCGGGUGGGGGAUGACGGCCUUCGGGUUGUAAGCUCCUUUCGGCAAAGACGAGUUUGGGACGGUAUUUGGAGAAGAAGCACCGGCUAACUACGUG
This 463-nucleotide ribosomal RNA is filed under the name uncultured bacterium. Its description in RNAcentral is "partial 16S ribosomal RNA". It matches the Rfam family "Bacterial small subunit ribosomal RNA", at positions 28 to 507 of the family's 1533-position model. The record is from RNAcentral.